RNAcentral lists this ribosomal RNA (465 nucleotides) under Vreelandella stevensii. Its description in RNAcentral is "partial 16S ribosomal RNA". It matches the Rfam family "Bacterial small subunit ribosomal RNA", at positions 338 to 795 of the family's 1533-position model. The record is from RNAcentral. Lineage: Bacteria; Pseudomonadati; Pseudomonadota; Gammaproteobacteria; Oceanospirillales; Halomonadaceae.
CCCACGGGGAGCUGCAGUGGGGAAUAUUGGACAAUGGGCGAAAGCCUGAUCCAGCCAUGCCGCGUGUGUGAAGAAGGCCUUCGGGUUGUAAAGCACUUUCAGUGGGGAAGAAAGCCUUGGGGCUAAUACCCUCGAGGAAGGACAUCACCCACAGAAGAAGCACCGGCUAACUCCGUGCCAGCAGCCGCGGUAAUACGGAGGGUGCGAGCGUUAAUCGGAAUUACUGGGCGUAAAGCGCGCGUAGGCGGUCUGAUAAGCCGGUUGUGAAAGCCCCGGGCUCAACCUGGGAACGGCAUCCGGAACUGUCAGGCUAGAGUGCAGGAGAGGAAGGUAGAAUUCCCGGUGUAGCGGUGAAAUGCGUAGAGAUCGGGAGGAAUACCAGUGGCGAAGGCGGCCUUCUGGACUGACACUGACGCUGAGGUGCGAAAGCGUGGGUAGCAAACAGGAUUAGAUACCCCGGUAGUC